CCUACGGGAGGCAGCAGUGGGGAAUCUUGCGCAAUGGGCGAAAGCCUGACGCAGCAACGCCGCGUGCGGGAAGAAGGCUCUCGGGUUGUAAACCGCUUUCAGCAGGAACGAAAAUGACGGUACUUGCAGAAGAAGGUGCGGCCAACUACGUGCCAGCAGCCGCGGUGACACGUAGGCACCAAGCGUUGUCCGGAUUUAUUGGGCGUAAAGAGCUCGUAGGCGGUUCGGUAAGUCAGGUGUGAAAACUUUGGGCUCAACCCAAAGCCUGCAUCUGAUACUGCUGUGACUAGAGUUCGGUAGGGGAGCGGGGAAUUCCUAGUGUAGCGGUGAAAUGCGCAGAUAUUAGGAGGAACACCGGUGGCGAAGGCGCCGCUCUGGGCCGAAACUGACGCUGAGGAGCGAAAGCGUGGGUAGCAAACAGGAUUAGAUACCCUGGUAGUCCACGCCGUAAACGUUGGGCACUAGGUGUGGGUCUCAACCAACGAGAUCCGCGCCGUCGCUAACGCAUUAAGUGCCCCGCCUGGGGAGGUACGGCCGCGAAGUAAACGUUAAAGUAAGUAGACGGCGUGAGACGCGAGACGACGACGAGGGAGAGG
Molecule: ribosomal RNA, 596 nt
Filed under: uncultured bacterium
Lineage: Bacteria
Description: bacterial SSU rRNA
Rfam family: Bacterial small subunit ribosomal RNA (bases 1-521)
Source: RNAcentral